Molecule: ribosomal RNA, 497 nt
Filed under: uncultured bacterium
Lineage: Bacteria
Description: partial 16S ribosomal RNA
Rfam family: Bacterial small subunit ribosomal RNA
Source: RNAcentral
GACGAACGCUGGCGGCGUGCCUAAUACAUGCAAGUAGAACGCUGAAGAGAGGAGCUUGCUCUUCUUGGAUGAGUUGCGAACGGGUGAGUAACGCGUAGGUAACCUGCCUUGUAGCGGGGGAUAACUAUUGGAAACGAUAGCUAAUACCGCAUAACAAUGGAUGACACAUGUCAUUUAUUUGAAAGGGGCAAUUGUUCCACUACAAGAUGGACCUGCGUUGUAUUAGCUAGUAGGUGAGGUAAUGGCUCACCUAGGCGACGAUACAUAGCCGACCUGAGAGGGUGAUCGGCCACACUGGGACUGAGACACGGCCCAGACUCCUACGGGAGGCAGCAGUAGGGAAUCUUCGGCAAUGGGGGCAACCCUGACCGAGCAACGCCGCGUGAGUGAAGAAGGUUUUCGGAUCGUAAAGCUCUGUUGUAAGUCAAGAACGGGUGUGAGAGUGGAAAGUUCACACUGUGACGGUAGCUGACCAGAAAGGGACGGCUAACUACGUG